This 520-nucleotide ribosomal RNA is filed under the name uncultured bacterium. Its description in RNAcentral is "bacterial SSU rRNA". It matches the Rfam family "Bacterial small subunit ribosomal RNA", at positions 96 to 601 of the family's 1533-position model. The record is from RNAcentral.
UGGCGAACGGGUGAGUAAUACAUAAGUAACCUGGCAUCUACAGGGGGAUAACUGAUGGAAACGUCAGCUAAGACCGCAUAGGUGUAGAGAUCGCAUGAACUCUAUAUGAAAAGUGCUACGGGACUGGUAGAUGAUGGACUUAUGGCGCAUUAGCUGGUUGGUAGGGUAACGGCCUACCAAGGCGACGAUGCGUAGCCGACCUGAGAGGGUGACCGGCCACACUGGGGACUGAGACACGGCCCAGACUCCUACGGGAGGCAGCAGUAGGGAAUUUUCGGCAAUGGGGGAAACCCUGACCGAGCAACGCCGCGUGAAGGAAGAAGUAAUUCGUUAUGUAAACUUCUGUCAUAGAGGAAGAACGGUGGAUAUAGGGAAUGAUAUCCAAGUGACGGUACUCUAUAAGAAAGCCAACGGCUAACUACGUGCCAGCAGCCGCGGUAAUACGUAGGUGGCGAGCGUUAUCCGGAAUUAUUGGGCGUAAAGAGGGAGCGAGGCGGCACUAAGGGUCUGUGGUGAAAGA